This 793-nucleotide unclassified non-coding RNA is filed under the name Hevea brasiliensis (rubber tree). Lineage: Eukaryota; Viridiplantae; Streptophyta; Magnoliopsida; Malpighiales; Euphorbiaceae. The record is from RNAcentral.
GAAAGACAUAACUCCAUGGUUGGUUAUUCAACUUUCUAAUCUUGCUUUACUUUUAGGCCUGAAGAAUAAUGCUAUAUUGCGUGUUGAAACUGAGAAAUUGAGUUUGCUAAUGUAUAAGUUUCUUUGAUUAGUAGUUCUUGAAUCUAUUUUAGGUUCAUGAAAGUGUUUAAUUGUGGAUUUGAAAUUCCUAUAAGAAGGAAUCCAUCUCAUAUAAGUUUUCAUCUAUAUUUGCAAAUCUAAUCAAUUAAAAAUGAGCUGCCAAUCUAAUCAAUUAAAAAACAAGCCUACUUUUUCCAAAAAAAUUUAAAAUAAUUCUUCCGUCCAAAUAUAACAUUGAAGAUUAAUCUUAUACAGCUAUUGCGUGGUUCAAACAAUUCAUGUAGUUGUGAAUAAGAAGGGCUACUUUUCAUAUUUUCUUUAUUAUCUAGUUGUGUUUCUUGCCUUAUCAUUACGGAAAAAAAAAGGGUAACUGUGCUGAUUAUGCAUUCAUGUCUUGCUUGCAUAAUUAGGGAAGUUUUGUGUGAAAGUUGAUAAUAUAUUACUUCUUUUUGCCGUGAUCGUGACUAUUUAUAUUUUAACAUUUACUUUGUAUCAAUGGCAAAGCUAGAUACUAAUUUAUGGUGACCAAACAUAGAACAAUAAUUUCAAGUCCAACUACAUUGAAAUCAAGUUUCAGUUGAGUUGAGCUUGUUGAGAAUUAUGGACCCAGGUGUGUGAAUGUCAAAUUGGCUGGCUACACACUGAACUGGGCCUGAAACUAGGCUCCAUCACCAAAAUGGCUUAGGCUAUUUUG